This 735-nucleotide long non-coding RNA is filed under the name Olea europaea subsp. europaea. The record is from RNAcentral. Lineage: Eukaryota; Viridiplantae; Streptophyta; Magnoliopsida; Lamiales; Oleaceae.
CGAUAGUGGUUCGUCGUAAUUGCUUAUAUAAUGAGGCAGUAAGCAUUUUUCUUCUUGUUACACUGCACGAAAGAUCACUGAGCAAGUAAAAUUUCCUUUACAUCUUUUCGGCAGUGUUCAAUUUCUUUCCAUCAAGAAACCAAUUUUUUUUCUUUUAGGUCGACUUGUUUGAUUCUUGUGUAAGUCAUGGAUUGAUUUGUUUAGGUUUUUGUUCUUCCAAAAGCUAUAAAAUGGGAUCUUCUUCAAAAAAACAAUCAAAGGGAACCUUCCAGGAGGCUAACAUAGCCAUGAUAUGUUUCAAGGCUGGUAUACCACCAGUAAUCCCUACUGAGAAAUUUUUCAACCUUGAGCCUCUAGUGGAGAAAGAUUUCAAUGGGUGAUGUUGUAUGAACCCUUGAGGCCCUUAAUCGCUCCUCAUAUGGGACAUUCCAACCCCUAUUAAGAAUUGGAAGUCAUCAUGGUUUUCUUAUAAGGCCGUUGGCAAACCAUGAAGGGUGAUGUAGUCCCAAAAUUAACUGUGCAACCCAGUAUUUUGAGUAUAGUGGGUUCUUGAUAUCAAGCGUUUCAUUUAUUUGUCACUUUCUACUUGGAUAUUUUUUACUUUGUUUUUAAUGCAACUGCAGUUAACUGGUUUGAGCUUGGAGCAAAACGGUGGGCCAUAUUUCGUGUCAUAUACGAUCUGUUGGGAAUUUACUUAAACAUGCACAGCGAAAUUUAACAAAUUUCAAUUCUCAU